This 616-nucleotide ribosomal RNA is filed under the name Teratoclytus plavilstshikovi. RNAcentral describes it as "partial large subunit ribosomal RNA". The stretch from base 232 to 381 matches the Rfam family "Archaeal large subunit ribosomal RNA", at positions 1883 to 2090 of the family's 2987-position model. Lineage: Eukaryota; Metazoa; Arthropoda; Insecta; Coleoptera; Cerambycidae. The record is from RNAcentral.
UUCUCGAAUUAAGAAGAGCUAUUUAUUUUAUUGUAAUAAAUAUUUAUAAUAUGUAAUGAAACGUUAAUAUAUCUAGUUUUCCAAGAAAAUUUAAUUUAGGUAUAUUUUUGGGGAUGAGCUCAAAAUAGGAUUAGAAGUUUUGUUAUAAUUUAUUUAUUGGAAUAUUUUAAUUAAUAAUUGAAGAAAUUAUGAUAAAAUUAGUAUAAGGUUUAAUAAAGGAAUUCGGCAAAAGUUUUUCACCUGUUUAUUAAAAACAUGGCCUUUUGAAAAUAAUUUAAGGUCUAGCCUGCCCUAUGAGGCCGCGGUACUCUGACCGUGCAAAGGUAGCAUAAUAAUUAGUUUUUUAAUUGAAAGCUGGAAUGAACGGUUGAAUGAGAAAACAUCUGUCUCUUUUAAAUAGAAUUUUAUCUCUGAGUAAAAAAGCUUAGAUUUUAUUAAAAGACGAGAAGACCCUAUAGAGUUUUAUUUUAGUUGGGGUGAUUAAAAAAUUAAUAAAACUUUUGAUUAAAAGACUAAAUUACCUUAGGGAUAACAGCGUAAUUUUUUUUAGAGUUCUAAUCGAAAAAAGAGUUUGCGACCUCGAUGUUGGAUUAAAAUUUAUUUUGGUGUAGAAGCU